GAGAAUCAAACUAUAUGUUCUAAAUAACGUAAUUUUUAAAAGAUCAUAUAAAUUGCUACUAAUUUAAAACUCACUUGGUUAAACCAUAUUACAAAACUUGUGAAUAAUGUAAUGAAUUCGGAAUCAGGUUUCAAGGUGCUCUAGGCACAGUAGAUGUUUACAUAUUGCUUUGAGGAAGAUAUCCACAAUUUUUUUUAUUUUUUUUUGUCAAACAUGUUGACAUAUGGUAGUGGUAAAAGCAUGUAUAAUACUUGCUCGUAAGCUAAUAAAAAAAAGUGAGCUGUUUUGUUUCUGUGAGAUAUCAACUUGCUAGAUACCGCCACUUUGUGUUUUCCAAAAUUCCAAAUAAAAUCUUUCGGUUCC
This 363-nucleotide long non-coding RNA is filed under the name Capsella rubella. Its description in RNAcentral is "long non-coding RNA (CRUB_LNC002789)". The record is from RNAcentral. Lineage: Eukaryota; Viridiplantae; Streptophyta; Magnoliopsida; Brassicales; Brassicaceae.